AGUUUCGAUCAAUCUGUUGUUCUCCUGGGAUACAUUUUGUGCAAAAAUAGACAUUGGUAUUUUACCAACAUGCCUCGCACAUAUAAGUCGGAUCCAAGAGGUAAA
Melitaea cinxia (Glanville fritillary) is the source of this 105-nucleotide long non-coding RNA. RefSeq lists it as uncharacterized. Lineage: Eukaryota; Metazoa; Arthropoda; Insecta; Lepidoptera; Nymphalidae. The record is from RefSeq and is a predicted model, not a curated record. The transcript is spliced from 2 exons.